UAUGAGUAGACGGCACAGAAGUCAGC
This 26-nucleotide non-coding RNA is filed under the name Cricetulus griseus (Chinese hamster). The record is from RNAcentral. Lineage: Eukaryota; Metazoa; Chordata; Mammalia; Rodentia; Cricetidae.